Molecule: long non-coding RNA, 1173 nt
Filed under: Pan troglodytes (chimpanzee)
Lineage: Eukaryota; Metazoa; Chordata; Mammalia; Primates; Hominidae
Description: lincRNA
Source: RNAcentral
ACACUAGCUGUCUGUGUCAAGGCCACGGAGAAAUCUAUUGGAAAUCGCUGUGGAAACAAACGCAAAUGAAAAGCCGCAAAGAGCAAAGUUGCAGGCAACAGAAGCCAACUCUGGGUAACAAGCAAAAAGGGAAGGAGAAGGAUGCAAGGGCUGCUCAGAGAAUAGAUAAUAUAAUAAAUAUUAAUGACAAUAAUAUGAGACUGAAGACACCACAUGGCUGCUCACUGGCCCAUCUCCUCUCAUGACUGCUGCUCUGGGAACCACCUCUCUGCUCUCCAUCGCUACCACUCUAGCCUGUGGCCUGCUCCUGGUUGAAGAAGCCAUCAAUCAAAAUGAAUACCACUCUGGAAAUCUUGGGUGGCCUGACCUGAUAUUUUUACAUAGUGGCCACAGAUAUUUUAGGCCCCCAAGAGGUAGUCUUACUCUUUCGAUUUUACUGGCUCCACUGUUUGAGGAACUUGGAACAAUUUCCCCAGGGACUGGUCUGGAGGUACUGUUGAAUAACACCACGGUGUUUUUCUUCCUCCCCACUAAGGGCCCGUUGAUGUCUCAAGACCAGACAUAAAACUUUUGGUGCUCAAGUCACUCAGAAUGAGAGUCCUGCUUUUCCUCAGCACUCUUGCCCUUUGAGGGUGGGGCCAAAUGUUUUCUUCCUUUAUUACUGAGGACUUUUGAUCCUGGUUUUUGUUAUUUGUCAUUCCCAGGGGGAAUUUUGUACCCUGUGUCUUGGUAAAGUGUAAGACCACUGUGGAUUUUGGGGUUAAGUCUCAUUUCUCUAUCCCUCCCUUCAAGAGAAGAAAGAAAGAGAGAAUACCCAAACCCUGCAUCGUCUCUCACUCGCCUGUCCAGAGCCUAUGGAACAGCCAUUGGGGCAGCUGUCACAAGCUGUUCACACAGCUUUUCUGAUAUACUGACAGUCUCAUGAGGAAGUGCAUAUAACUCCCUGCAAUGGUUUGAAUGUGUCCUCCAAAGUUUAUGUGUUGGAAACUUAAUACAACAGUGUUGACAGGUGGGACCUUUAAGAGGUGAUUAGAUCACAAGGGCUCUGUCCUUAUGAAUGGAUUAAGGUUAUUGAGAGAGUGGGACGGUUAUGCAAGCAAGUUUAGCCUCCUUCCUGUGUGCUCUCUCUCUCUUUCUCUCUGAAAAAGAAUGGGAGUUAUUAGAUGCUUUUUU